CUACGGGGCGCAGCAGUGGGGAAUAUUGGACAAUGGGGGAAACCCUGAUCCAGCAAUGCCGCGUGUGUGAAGAAGGCCUGCGGGUUGUAAAGCACUUUCGGUUGGGAGGACUGCUUCUAGCACUAAUAUUGUUGGAAGUUGACGUUACCUUCAGAAGAAGCACCGGCUAACUCCGUGCCAGCAGCCGCGGUAAUACGGAGGGUGCAAGUGUUAAUCGGAAUUACUGGGCGUAAAGCGCGCGUAGGCGGCUAGAUCAGUCGGGUGUGAAAGCCCCGGGCUUAACCUGGGAACUGCAUCCGAUACUGUCUAGCUUGAGUACAGGAGAGGAGAGUGGAAUUCCACAUGUAGCGGUGAAAUGCGUAGAUGUGUGGAGGAACACCAAUGGCGAAGGCAGCUCUCUGGCCUGAUACUGACGCUGAGGUGCGAAAGCGUGGGGAGCAAACAGGAUUAGAUACCCCCGUAGUC
Molecule: ribosomal RNA, 465 nt
Filed under: uncultured bacterium
Lineage: Bacteria
Description: partial 16S ribosomal RNA
Rfam family: Bacterial small subunit ribosomal RNA
Source: RNAcentral